RNAcentral lists this ribosomal RNA (464 nucleotides) under Vreelandella stevensii. Its description in RNAcentral is "partial 16S ribosomal RNA". It matches the Rfam family "Bacterial small subunit ribosomal RNA", at positions 339 to 795 of the family's 1533-position model. The record is from RNAcentral. Lineage: Bacteria; Pseudomonadati; Pseudomonadota; Gammaproteobacteria; Oceanospirillales; Halomonadaceae.
CUACGGGUGGCAGCAGUGGGGAAUAUUGGACAAUGGGCGAAAGCCUGAUCCAGCCAUGCCGCGUGUGUGAAGAAGGCCUUCGGGUUGUAAAGCACUUUCAGUGGGGAAGAAAGCCUUGGGGCUAAUACCCUCGAGGAAGGACAUCACCCACAGAAGAAGCACCGGCUAACUCCGUGCCAGCAGCCGCGGUAAUACGGAGGGUGCGAGCGUUAAUCGGAAUUACUGGGCGUAAAGCGCGCGUAGGCGGUCUGAUAAGCCGGUUGUGAAAGCCCCGGGCUCAACAUGGGAACGGCAUCCGGAACUGUCAGGCUAGAGUGCAGGAGAGGAAGGUAGAAUUCCCGGUGUAGCGGUGAAAUGCGUAGAGAUCGGGAGGAAUACCAGUGGCGAAGGCGGCCUUCUGGACUGACACUGACGCUGAGGUGCGAAAGCGUGGGUAGCAAACAGGAUUAGAUACCCGAGUAGUC